UGAGGAAUAUUGGUCAAUGGGCGCUAGCCUGAACCAGCCAAGUAGCGUGAAGGAUGAAGGCUCUAUGGGUCGUAAACUUCUUUUAUAUAAGAAUAAAGUACAGUAUGUAUACUGUUUUGUAUGUAUUAUAUGAAUAAGGAUCGGCUAACUCCGUGCCAGCAGCCGCGGUAAUACGGAGGAUCCGAGCGUUAUCCGGAUUUAUUGGGUUUAAAGGGAGCGUAGGUGGACUGGUAAGUCAGUUGUGAAAGUUUGCGGCUCAACCGUAAAAUUGCAGUUGAUACUGUCAGUCUUGAGUACAGUAGAGGUGGGCGGAAUUCGUGGUGUAGCGGUGAAAUGCUUAGAUAUCACGAAGAACUCCGAUUGCGAAGGCAGCUCACUGGACUGCAACUGACACUGAUGCUCGAAAGUGUGGGUAUCAAACAGG
RNAcentral lists this ribosomal RNA (424 nucleotides) under Fusobacteriota bacterium. RNAcentral's name for it is "Fusobacteria bacterium partial 16S ribosomal RNA". It matches the Rfam family "Bacterial small subunit ribosomal RNA", at positions 355 to 776 of the family's 1533-position model. The record is from RNAcentral. Lineage: Bacteria; Fusobacteriati; Fusobacteriota.